CGUACACUCCUGCGGGAGGCAGCAGUGGGGAAUAUUGGACAAUGGGCGCAAGCCUGAUCCAGCCAUGCCGCGUGAGUGAUGAAGGCCCUAGGGUUGUAAAGCUCUUUCACCGGUGAAGAUAAUGACGGUAACCGGAGAAGAAGCCCCGGCUAACUUCGUGCCAGCAGCCGCGGUAAUACGAAGGGGGCUAGCGUUGUUCGGAUUUACUGGGCGUAAAGCGCACGUAGGCGGACUAUUAAGUCAGGGGUGAAAUCCCGGGGCUCAACCCCGGAACUGCCUUUGAUACUGGUAGUCUUGAGUUCGAGAGAGGUGAGUGGAAUUCCGAGUGUAGAGGUGAAAUUCGUAGAUAUUCGGAGGAACACCAGUGGCGAAGGCGGCUCACUGGCUCGAUACUGACGCUGAGGUGCGAAAGCGUGGGGAGCAAACAGGAUUAGAUACCCAGUAGUCCCA
Molecule: ribosomal RNA, 450 nt
Filed under: uncultured organism
Description: partial 16S ribosomal RNA
Rfam family: Bacterial small subunit ribosomal RNA
Source: RNAcentral